GACGAACGCUGGCGGCGUGCCUAAUACAUGCCAGUUGAGCGCUGAAGGUUGGUACUUGUACCAACUGGAUGAGCAGCGAACGGGUGAGUAACGCGUGGGGAAUCUGCCUUUGAGCGGGGGACAACAUUUGGAAACGAAUGCUAAUACCGCAUAAAAACUUUAAACACAAGUUUUAAGUUUGAAAGAUGCAAUUGCAUCACUCAAAGAUGAUCCCGCGUUGUAUUAGCUAGUUGGUGAGGUAAAGGCUCACCAAGGCGAUGAUACAUAGCCGACCUGAGAGGGUGAUCGGCCACAUUGGGACUGAGACACGGCCCAAACUCCUACGGGAGGAAGCAGUAGGGAAUCUUCGGCAAUGGACGAAAGUCUGACCGAGCAACGCCGCGUGAGGGAAGAAGGUUUUCGGAUCGUAAAACUCUGUUGGUAGAGAAGAACGUUGGUGAGAGUGGAAAGCUCAUCAAGUGACGGUAACUACCCAGAAAGGGACGGCUAACUACGUG
RNAcentral lists this ribosomal RNA (497 nucleotides) under uncultured bacterium. RNAcentral describes it as "partial 16S ribosomal RNA". It matches the Rfam family "Bacterial small subunit ribosomal RNA", at positions 28 to 507 of the family's 1533-position model. The record is from RNAcentral.